GAGGGUAUAGCUCAGUGGUAGAGCACAUGCUUAGCAUGCACAAGGUCCUGGGUUCAAUCCCUAGUACCUCCA
Molecule: transfer RNA, 72 nt
Filed under: Camelus bactrianus (Bactrian camel)
Lineage: Eukaryota; Metazoa; Chordata; Mammalia; Artiodactyla; Camelidae
Also listed under: 2 other names
Rfam family: tRNA
About the family: Transfer RNA (tRNA) molecules are approximately 80 nucleotides in length. Their secondary structure includes four short double-helical elements and three loops (D, anti-codon, and T loops). Further hydrogen bonds mediate the characteristic L-shaped molecular structure. tRNAs have two regions of fundamental functional importance: the anti-codon, which is responsible for specific mRNA codon recognition, and the 3' end, to which the tRNAs corresponding amino acid is attached (by aminoacyl-tRNA synthetases). tRNAs cope with the degeneracy of the genetic code in two manners: having more than one tRNA (with a specific anti-codon) for a particular amino acid; and 'wobble' base-pairing, i.e. permitting non-standard base-pairing at the 3rd anti-codon position.
Source: Rfam by way of RNAcentral